UACGGGGGGAGCAAGCGUUGUUCGGAUUUACUGGGCGUAAAGGGCGCGUAGGCGGUCAGCACAAGUCAGUUGUGAAAUCUCCGGGCUUAACUCGGAAAGGUCAACUGAUACUGUGCGACUAGAGUGCAGAAGGGGCAACUGGAAUUCUCGGUGUAGCGGUGAAAUGCGUAGAUAUCUGGAGGAACACCGGUGGCGAAGGCGGCAUCCUGGACCACGACUGACGCUGAGGAGCGAAAGCCAGGGGAGCAAACGGG
Molecule: ribosomal RNA, 254 nt
Filed under: uncultured bacterium
Lineage: Bacteria
Description: partial 16S ribosomal RNA
Rfam family: Bacterial small subunit ribosomal RNA
Source: RNAcentral